Molecule: long non-coding RNA, 3771 nt
Filed under: Triticum aestivum (bread wheat)
Lineage: Eukaryota; Viridiplantae; Streptophyta; Magnoliopsida; Poales; Poaceae
Description: long non-coding RNA (TAES_LNC008996)
Source: RNAcentral
UGUGUACUGCUGAUAAUCUCAAACAUGUUUUACUUGAUUUUAGAAAACAUGUAAUUUUGUUGUGCUGCUUUUUAAUGUCUCCAGCAGUCCUACUUCUCCAUGACGACAAGGACGACGUCGCCAUGCGUGCUCGGCCGUGGUGUGCACGCUCUCCUUUCUUUCUCCUUCCGAGACAGUGAGGUGCUCCAGCAAGCGGCCGCUGGUGGGAUCCGCAGGUUAGCCCCCAUCUUCCACCUCCCCUACUCUCCUCUUCAACAGGAGCAACACCGUUAGGAGCUCGAAGUAAAACGAGGACGGCUGCAGCGACCGUGCAGUUCGCCCGCUCCUGUCCGACAAGUUCCCACCGUGCAUUUUUGUGUGUGUAGAAUUUCGUCUAAUCUAGUUCUCGAAUUUGGUCUACUUGUGUAAAUCUGUCAGUUCAAGACAAUUACCUUCUGAUGCUUGAAAUUAAGUCCUUUGUGAAUAUUGCUUGUUUCAGAAAGAAAUAGACUAUGUAAUUGCAUCACAUGGUGUACUGAUCAACAUAAACAUGGUGUACUGAACAAAACAUACACAUUCUAUCUAUUUAGCUGUGAGGAACAUUUAAAAAACGUUUGAUAUGCACAACAACAAUUGAGUCUUUGAUCCAGGAAUACACACACCCAAUGCCACUGCAAAUAGAUAGAUGGCCACCUCCUACCUGAUGUGUGUAAUUCAAAGUUCCAAACCCAAUGUAAAUUACUCCUGCUGCUUAACACAAAAAAUUUCACUUAUUUGGACGGAGGAAUAUACUACUUAUUGUCAUGAUCUAUUGAAGCCAAGAUCCGCUGUAGCAUUCGAAUCCCUUCAAUUCACUUAUAACUCUCUCGAUAAGUUCAGUGUGUGUGUAAUGGAAAAAACAAUAAUAUAAUAGUUCAGUUCAAUUCAACCAGUUGAUAUUGGAUUAUAUUGGUUGAUUGCAAAAUACUUUGUUGUUUGCCCAUCGCCAUGGCCUGCACCCUGACCAUCGCCACGGCCCCUCCUUUUCACGCCGUCGCAUCGUGCACUCACCACGCCGUGUGUGGCAUCCUCCCGGCGAAGCGCCCGUGCUGGCAACACGCACUGUGCCGCGGGACAAUUUUCCGGCGGCACCCUCCGCCGCCUCAGCCCAGGCCGUCCACCUCUGCCACCCCGGGCCGUUCACCACUGCGAAGAGAGCCCAUUCAACUACGUGAUAGAGAAUUUAUGUACCAGACUUAAUAUUAGUUCGGUGUGUAAUCUAUCGUCAGUCCAUGAAAAAUCACAGAAUAGUUGGUGUGUGUGCAGAAAUAUCGUCAGUGCAAGUUUUAAAAUUCUGUAAGUUUAGAUAUACCACCUAAAUAAGUAAUGAUUUGCAGCGAGUUUCUUCAAAAUUCUGUAAAGUUCAGAUAUAUCACCUAAAGUAUCGUCAGUGCAAGUUUCAAAAUUCUGUAAGUUUAGAUAUAUCAUAAAGAAAAAAUGAUGAGUCACCAUCUGCUUUAUAUUCAUGUUCUCUGCAACACAAGUAGCAGUGGGACUGACUGGGAGUGAUCCCUGAACCAUUUCAUUGAACGCCAUGGUUUCCAACAAUGCUAAUGCUACUAGAAAGUGUUAGAGGCCAUGAAGCCUCUUGGCUUCUCCAAUAAGCAGGUUUGGCCAGUCCUGAAGCGCCUCCUCAAGUUUCUGAGUACACGAUGCAUCGAUGCACGCAUCACAGGUGGCCAAACACGACGUGUUUUGUCCUGCACCCAGAAGCUUUGGAGGCGAUGUGUUGCCCUUUGUUCUUUAUUGACAAAUCUAGCAGUGAUGGUUCAUAUAGAACUUGAAAUUACCUAUCCGCCACGGGGAUGUACUGCCCUCAGUCCUCUCUCAACAAAUCGAGCAGUGCAGGUUCUCUGGUGCGCCAAGUAUUACCGGCGGCGAUGCCUGCUUAUAUAUUUCUGCUUUCAUGUAUUAAACCUUAUAAUCUGGUACUAUUUCAUGAUAAUAUGUGAACUGAAAGAAAGGUUCAACUAUUUGUUAUUUUAGUUGAGUUUAAUUUCUUAUUCUAGUUUAGUUUCAAAUUCGUAUCCCUUCAGUUCAGUUUCUAAAUUUGGUUUAGUUCAAUUCAGUUCAAUAUAUUUGUGCCAAUUCCUUCUUGUGAUGCUUAUAUGUAGCUGGAAAUGCAGAUGCUGCUGUUUUAGAAUUUAUCAUUCGGUAUGGAAUUAGGUGUGGUGUACCAUCAGUCACUGCUGUUGAUUUAGCCAGUUUGGUAGUACAUGAUAGUGGACGUCUCAAAAGUAUUUUUAUGUUUGAUGCAUGGCUUAUCUUGAUACUAGGCAUCACGCCACUUUACAACGACAUUACAGGGAUCAGACCAUUCUACAGCAUAAAUAUUAAACUACACGCCAGGAAAUUAGUACCUUUGUGCUUGCUAGGUGUUUGCAUGUCUCUAAGAACCAAACAGUACUAGUAACAUCCCUAUAUAGGGCCGUGAGUGUGCUAUUAAGUUUGUUGAUAUGUCUCUUAAGGACAAAAAUGAAAAAAUUGCAUCCUUUUCAGUUCAUUUUGGGGGUCAAGGACAAGUAAAUUUAGUGUCAUUGCUAAAAUGUAGGCGCUCGCCGCCGCCAUCUCCGACUGGAUCUAGCCUGGCUCCCCCUGGUUGCUAACACGACUUGUGCUGCUCUGGUGCUAGUGUGGGUGGGUAACAAGUUCAACUACGAGUCCAGACCAAGUUCUGGUAUGUUGCAUGUUUCCCACACAUUCCCUAGGAAAAAUACUUUUUAGCAUUCAGUUUUGUUCAAUUAUUAUUUUAGUUUCAGUUCAGUUCAAAUUUCUAAUUUUCAUUUCAAUUCAAUUCUUAUUUUUUCGCUAGCUACAAUCAGAACAAAAUACUCCUGCCUUCACCAGUUAACCUUCACUACAUGACAAACAGGUGCCCUGGCCUGCUCCUGACGAAGCACCCGCGCUGGCGACACGCAGCGUGCCCCGGCCCCAUGUCAGUUCCGGCGUUGCCCUUCGCCGGCUCAGCGCAAAGGCUGUUUUACUUGACAUAAAAAUUAGUAUAUGUUCUAUUGUAAAAACAUAUCUAAAAUGUCAUGAUGCAUGCUAGCAGAAAUCUGAAAAUACACUCAGUUCAGUUCCUAUAUUUUAUUUCAGUUCAAUUUAGAACUAUUUGCAACUGUUCAGACUCGAGUGUUCCUAUAUUUUAUUUCAGUUCAAUUUAGAAGUAUUUACAACUGUUCAGACUUGAGUUUACAACGGAAAAACAUUUGGAAGUUUAGCGAGCGAAAAUUCUUGUUAGAUUCAUUUAAAAAGUGUUGUAUAGUUCAACUUUUAUAUAUAAUAAAUUCAUAAUGAAAUGUGGGAACAAUUCAAUAUGUGUGUGUUAAAAACAUAACAGUACAGAGAAAUUCGGUAUGUACUCGUCAAAAAAAAUCGCAUCAGUUCAAGAGGCACGGAAAAGAAAAUUUGGUGCCAAUAAAGUUCAAGGGAAAAAACAACUUUAAAAAGAAACGUGAUAAGCUCACAAAUUAAUUCUAUGACAUUGACGUCCAAGUUCUACAACUGAUCCGUACAAACAAAAACGGUGGUCCGUUCUACAAAGGAAAAUUGGUUUAAUUAAAAAUAUUGAUCAGUACAAGUUAAAAUGAUGGUCCGUUCGGAAUAAAAGAAAUGACAGAAAUUCAAAUUGUAAAAGUUCAAGCAAAAGGAAACGCCGUGCAAUUCAAAUGGUAAAAGUACAAGUCAUAAAAUAAGAGAAGUUCAGAACAUCGUUGUAAAAAAAUGUUUAGUUCAAAAAAAAGAAUAAAAAAA